Molecule: long non-coding RNA, 2354 nt
Organism: Pseudophryne corroboree (corroboree frog)
Lineage: Eukaryota; Metazoa; Chordata; Amphibia; Anura; Myobatrachidae
Exons: 5
Source: RefSeq, a predicted model, not a curated record
UGCUGGUGGCCGCCGAGAUUGUCUCGGAGGGGAACGCAGAUACUGCGCCGCUUCCUGUCCUGGCGGCUCCCUUGUGGCUGGAGGUGUUUGAACGGUGGGUGGCCCCACCGCAGAAUUACAGCCCUGAAGAAGUCUACUAAAAGGAUUAAAUGCAUUGGGUCAUCUACAUAAUAACCUGCGAGCCCUGUGAGGCAAUCCACCCUAUGAGCUCACACCCAGAAGGGUUAGGUGGACACAAAUUAACAUUGUAACCUCAUAAACAGGAGGUGAAGCUGUGAACUUUGGGAGUAGGAGACAAGGUGCCACGGGCAGCUGGGCAGAGCCAACACAGGGAAAGCAGGGACCUGUGAGCAGGUGCUGCGGCAGGAGGUCCUGACACCCCCAGACAAGUGCUGCAGGGUGACACUGCUGCGACCAGGCCUAGAGCUGCUGCCGCCACAGCCUGACUGCUGACAGCUGACAUUGCUGCUGCUGCUGCUAGAGGUGUCUGCUGUAUGGGGCCAGGGACUGCUGCUGCAUAAGAGAAAAGAAUCAGCGGGCGCACAAGGGAAGAUAAGUAACAGGGAGUUAGCACAUAGCAAAAAUGGGGGUAGCCGCGAUUGAGGAUCUCACUCAAUGCGUAUCGUGCAUGAUGCAUCACACCUGGAACAACAGUCCGAGCAUGGGUACAUCUGUGUGAGAUGUGAGCGAACAGCUGCCCAAGAAGCCCAGUUUAGGACAAAAGGCUGCACCAAGGUAGCUAGAUGACUGAACUAGGAGACAGCAGUGGACGGCACAAACAAACAUGUGGCACUUAAACUUCCAACAUGGCACAUCCAGGAAACAGAAUGGCACUGCAAUGCAGACAAUGUGGCAGUUUAAUAAAUGAAAAUGUUUGUCAUCUACACAAGAAGACAGUUAGCAAUGCUCCAAACAGCACAUAAUGCAAAGAAAAGAUGUGCAAGAUGGAAUUGUCCUUGAGCCCUCCUACCCACCUGUAUGUUGUAUAUUUUAAACAGGACAUACACAGUUUAAUGAACCAAUCACUUCAGCAACAGGGACUGCCACUUGUGGCUGAAAUGAUUGGUUGGUUUGGUUCCCCACAAAAUAAGCUGCAACUGGUCUCCACGUACACCAUUUGGCUCUACAUAGGCAAGAUGUUGCCAUAACCAUCAUCAUCCAAUUCCUCACCCCCAUCAGUGUGUACAUCCUCUUCUUCACACACUUUUAAUUCGUCCCUACUGGAAUGCACCAUUACAGGCGUCUUUGUCUUUUUUGGACAUAAUUACUGGUAAAGGUCUUUCUCAUGAAAUUUAUCAUUCAUUUUGAUGAACAUCAUCUUUUCCGCAUUUUGAGAAAUUAACCUCCUACGCUGAUCGCUGACAAGAUUGCCGGCUGAGCUGAAAAGUCUUUCUGAGUACACACUGGAGGGUGUGCACCUUAAGUAAAGCAAAGCCAAUUUGUGAAAGGACAUACAAAUUGCCUUUUUUCCUGCCAGUAGUGAAACGGACUGUCUGGCAUGCCUAUUGGGCUGUUAUCACUAAAAUAAUCAUCAUCCCUUCUUUGCAUGGUAGCCGCAUCAUAUUCAGUCACGGUAGACAUGUCAAAAAUUGUAGGCAGUUUUUGCUGACUGAUCUGCAUUACCAUGCAUCUCUUAGGAAAAUGUAGCUUUUUCUUAGCAGCCAAAGUUGCUGGAGAAGCUGAAACAGGAGAUGUUGCAGUGUAACGUUCUGCUUGAGCUGACAAUUUGCUCACCAACAGCAAUUUGCCUUUCUUCAGAUUUGUGUCCAUUUGAAAGAAAGACACAAUGUAUGACUUAAACCUAUGAUCAAGUAUGGCCGCCAAAAUAUAGUGACCUGAUUUCAAAGAGAUUGAUGACACUUAUAUCAUAGGGAAACAAAUGAAGGGCUUGAGCUAAGAGUCCGGCAUGCUUAGUAAAAUUGCUUCAUUUCAGCACCUCCUUCAGUUUCUCCAACUGCUUUUCCAAGAGUCUAAUAAGAGGAAUUAACUGACUCAAGGUGGCAGUGUCUGAAACUAAUUUCACAUGUGGCAACUUGAAAGGGUUUGAGAACCUUGCACAACAUGAAAAGUAUUAUCCACUGUGCUUAAGUAAGGUAUGUUCCCCCUCCUUUUCCUAUGUCAUAGGUCAUUAUGUAGCCUUGGAUGCCAUGCUGCUGCUCCUCCAGCUGCUGAAGCAUAUAAAGGGUAGAAUUAGUGAUGUGCACCGGACAUAUUUCGGGUUUGUGUUUUGGUUUUGGAUUCAGUUCCGCGGCCGUGUUUUGAAUUCGGACGCGUUUUGGCAAAACCUCACCGAAAUUUUUUUGUCGGAUUCGGGUGUGUUUUGGAUUCGGGUGUUUUUUUCAAAAAACCCUAAA